Molecule: ribosomal RNA, 346 nt
Filed under: uncultured bacterium
Lineage: Bacteria
Description: partial 16S ribosomal RNA
Rfam family: Bacterial small subunit ribosomal RNA
Source: RNAcentral
CCUACGGGUGGCAGCAGUGAGGAAUAUUGGUCAAUGGGCGGGAGCCUGAACCAGCCAAGUCGCGUGAGGGAAGACGGUCCUAUGGAUUGUAAACCUCUUUAGGCGGGGAGCAAGGCCGGGCACGUGGGCCCGGAGGGAGAGGACCCGCAGAAGAAGCAGCGGCUAACUCCGUGCCAGCAGCCGCGGUAAUACGGAGGAUGCGUGCGUUAUCCGGAUUGAUUGGGUUUAAAGGGUGCGUAGGCGGAUUUUGAAGUCAGCGGUAAAAUGGACGGGCUCAACCCGGGCCGGCCGGUGAAACUGGGGCUCUUGAGUGGGCGAGAAGUAUGCGGACUGCGUGGUGUAGCGG